RNAcentral lists this ribosomal RNA (385 nucleotides) under uncultured bacterium. RNAcentral's name for it is "bacterial SSU rRNA". It matches the Rfam family "Bacterial small subunit ribosomal RNA", at positions 30 to 417 of the family's 1533-position model. The record is from RNAcentral.
AUUGAACGCUGGCGGCAUGCCUUACACAUGCAAGUCGAGCGGUAACGGGCCUUCGGGUGCCGACGAGUGGCGAACGGGUGAGUAAUGCAUCGGAACGUACCUUUCAGUGGGGGAUAACGUAGCGAAAGUUACGCUAAUACCGCAUAUUCUGUGAGCAGGAAAGCAGGGGAUCGCAAGACCUUGCGCUGAUUGAGCGGCCGAUGUCAGAUUAGCUAGUUGGUGAGGUAAAGGCUCACCAAGGCGACGAUCUGUAGCGGGUCUGAGAGGAUGAUCCGCCACACUGGAACUGAGACACGGUCCAGACUCUUACGGGAGGCAGCAGUGGGGAAUUUUGGACAAUGGGGGCAACCCUGAUCCAGCCAUGCCGCGUGAGUGAAGAAGGCCU